CCGUAUAAGCCUUCCCUUCACCAGUUUUGCCUCUGAAGCUAAAUGUAGUAUACCUGGUUAGUACUUGGAUGCAAGACCACCUAAGAAUACAAGAUACUGUAUGGG
Molecule: ribosomal RNA, 105 nt
Filed under: Salvator merianae (Argentine black and white tegu)
Lineage: Eukaryota; Metazoa; Chordata; Lepidosauria; Squamata; Teiidae
Source: RNAcentral